RNAcentral lists this ribosomal RNA (70 nucleotides) under Clostridium haemolyticum. RNAcentral's name for it is "partial 16S ribosomal RNA". It matches the Rfam family "Bacterial small subunit ribosomal RNA", at positions 1 to 67 of the family's 1533-position model. Lineage: Bacteria; Bacillati; Bacillota; Clostridia; Eubacteriales; Clostridiaceae. The record is from RNAcentral.
UUUUAAAUUGAGAGUUUGAUCCUGGCUCAGGACGAACGCUGGCGGCGUGCCUAACACAUGCAAGUCGAGC